GGUUAGAAUGCCAGCCUGUCACGCUGGAGGUCGAGGGUUCGAGUCCCUUCCAGGUCGCCA
Molecule: transfer RNA, 60 nt
Filed under: Paraclostridium bifermentans
Lineage: Bacteria; Bacillati; Bacillota; Clostridia; Peptostreptococcales; Peptostreptococcaceae
Description: tRNA-Ser
Rfam family: tRNA
About the family: Transfer RNA (tRNA) molecules are approximately 80 nucleotides in length. Their secondary structure includes four short double-helical elements and three loops (D, anti-codon, and T loops). Further hydrogen bonds mediate the characteristic L-shaped molecular structure. tRNAs have two regions of fundamental functional importance: the anti-codon, which is responsible for specific mRNA codon recognition, and the 3' end, to which the tRNAs corresponding amino acid is attached (by aminoacyl-tRNA synthetases). tRNAs cope with the degeneracy of the genetic code in two manners: having more than one tRNA (with a specific anti-codon) for a particular amino acid; and 'wobble' base-pairing, i.e. permitting non-standard base-pairing at the 3rd anti-codon position.
Source: RNAcentral